This is a long non-coding RNA of Panicum virgatum (switchgrass), 889 nucleotides long. RefSeq lists it as uncharacterized. Lineage: Eukaryota; Viridiplantae; Streptophyta; Magnoliopsida; Poales; Poaceae. The record is from RefSeq and is a predicted model, not a curated record. The transcript is spliced from 2 exons.
AAGUUGUCUUGAGGUGCCACUUAGGUCCACGAUCUUGGAAAAUCGAAAUCUGGCACCUUUAAGUUGUCAUUUAGGGCCGAUUUAGUCCAUAACCCCCCACGGGAGCGUUUUUGCCGACGUGGACUGGCCACCGUGGAUCUGACUGUGUUUUGGCGGGAUCUUGAGGUUGUAUGUUUUGCAUUUAGGUCCCUCCUGGGUUGAUAAAAGGGAAAAGGGGUCAUCUGGUUCCCAGGCAGUCUCUUCUCUCUCUGUCCCGUUCCCCACCAGCGCCCCUGUUCAGGUCGACGCCAUGAGAGGCGAUUCAAGCGGCUCCGCUUCAGAUCCACAAGGUGCAGAGGGUCUUCCGCUGAUUUGGUGCACGGAUUGCAAGUCGAGGUAGGUAGUGCGGCGCGUGUCGCAGAAGCCAUGGAGCGCCGGCCAAGUGUUUUACUGCUGCCCCAAAUACAAGCGAGAUGGUACUGGUUGUCCAUUUUGGCAUUGGGAAGAUGACUAUGCUGAUCUAUUGGCGGGCAAGAGGGCCGGCAUUGAGGCAGGCAAAGGGACUCUAGUUGGAGGCCAUGAAGGAAACAAGAGCAAUGCAGGCAGAUCAAUGGUGCAAGGGGAAGUCGGCUUGAGUGGGAGAACUAUGGUGGAAGGGGAACUCGGCAUGAGUGGUGCUGCUGGAAUGAUGAACAGAGAAUAUGAAAUUGUAGCCAUGUGUAAAGAAAUAGUUAGUUUGGUGAAGGCAAUUACCCUAGUUUCAGUGUGCAUCGUGUUUGUACUUAUGCUGAAUCUCAUUGUUCAGCUUGUAAAAUGAUGAUGUAUGCUAUGCUAUGAAUGUUAUCAGUAAUGGAAUGGAAUGAAAUUGAGGUCUGGUAUGAAUAUUAUCAGUAAUGGAAUGAAAUUGAGG